This 29-nucleotide unclassified non-coding RNA is filed under the name Mus musculus (house mouse). RNAcentral's name for it is "oocyte_clustered_small_RNA14192". Lineage: Eukaryota; Metazoa; Chordata; Mammalia; Rodentia; Muridae. The record is from RNAcentral.
UCAACACCCUCCAGCCUGACUGCAGCAGC